UUUGUGAAUGUUGAGAUGUUAUAUUGGUUUCACUGGUAAUAAUAAAUAAUUGAAAUGGGUAUAUAUUUGUUUUUUGUUAAGUUGCCUAAUAAUUAUGCACAGUAAUAGUCACCUGCACACACAGAUAUCCCCCUAACAUAGCUAAAACUAAAAACAAACUAAAAACUACUUCCAAAAAUAUUCAGCUUUGAUAUUAAUGAGUUUUUUGGGUUCAUUGAGAACAUGGUUGUUGUUCAAUAAUAAAAUUAAUCCUCUAAAAUACAACUUGCCUAAUAAUUCUGCACUCCCUGUAUAUUCCGCAGAGUAGCUGUUGACAUUAUAGUUGCGCAGGCAUUUUGUUGACUCUAGAGAACCUCGGGCCAAUCACACAUCCCCGUGACGCCGACUUUGCAUUCUGAUGUCACCCAUAUCAACUUUCUAUGCCAGUUUCUGCGCCUACCAUGGUGACCACGGGUAAUGGGGAAUCAGGGUUCCAUUCCGUACAGGGACCCUGAGAAACGGCUACCACAUGCAAGGAAGGCAGCAGGCGCGCAAAUGACCCACUCCCAACGCGGGAAAGUAGUGACGACAAAUAACAAUACAGGACUCUUUAGAGGCCCUGUAAUUGUAAUGAGUCCGCUUGAAAUCCUUUAACUCUGAUCAACUGGAGGGAAGUCUGGUGCAGAGCCACUGACCCGUGCGUGCUGUAGCUGAAACUCCACUAUCGCCUGCUGCUGC
This is a non-coding RNA of Pelobates cultripes (western spadefoot toad), 717 nucleotides long. Lineage: Eukaryota; Metazoa; Chordata; Amphibia; Anura; Pelobatidae. The record is from the annotation of a GenBank genome assembly.